This 496-nucleotide ribosomal RNA is filed under the name uncultured bacterium. RNAcentral describes it as "bacterial SSU rRNA". It matches the Rfam family "Bacterial small subunit ribosomal RNA", at positions 9 to 520 of the family's 1533-position model. The record is from RNAcentral.
GAGUUUGAUCCUGGCUCAGGACGAACGCUGGCGGCGUGCUUAACACAUGCAAGUCGAGCGGUGACCCUCCCUCGGGAGGUGAUCAGCGGCGAACGGGUGAGUAACACGUGGGCAACCUGCCCCUCACACUGGGAUAACCUCGGGAAACCGGGGCUAAUACCGGAUACGACCUCGAGCGGCAUCUCUUGAGGUGGAAAGCUCCGACGGUGAGGGAUGGGCCCGCGGCCUAUCAGCUAGUUGGUGGGGUAAUGGCCUACCAAGGCGACGACGGGUAGCCGGCCUGAGAGGGCGACCGGCCACACUGGGACUGAGACACGGCCCAGACUCCUACGGGAGGCAGCAGUGGGGAAUAUUGCGCAAUGGGCGAAAGCCUGACGCAGCGACGCCGCGUGAGGGAUGAAGGCCUUCGGUUGGUAAACCUCUUUCUAGCAGGACGAAGCGAAAGUGACGGUACCUGCAGAAGAAGCACCGGCUAACUACGUGCCAGCAGCCGCAG